Molecule: ribosomal RNA, 253 nt
Filed under: uncultured bacterium
Lineage: Bacteria
Description: partial 16S ribosomal RNA
Rfam family: Bacterial small subunit ribosomal RNA
Source: RNAcentral
UACGAAGGGUGCAAGCGUUACUCGGAAUUACUGGGCGUAAAGCGUGCGUAGGUGGUUCGUUAAGUCUGAUGUGAAAGCCCUGGGCUCAACCUGGGAAUGGCAUUGGAUACUGGCGGACUGGAGUGCGGUAGAGGAUGGCGGAAUUCCCGGUGUAGCAGUGAAAUGCGUAGAGAUCGGGAGGAACACCGGUGGCGAAGGCGGGUCUCUGGGCAUCUCCUGACGCUGAGGCGCGAAAGCGUGGGGAGCAAACGGG